GACGAACGCUGGCGGCGUGCUUAACACAUGCAAGUCGAGCGGUAAGGCCCUUUCGGGGGUACACGAGCGGCGAACGGGUGAGUAACACGUGGGUGACCUGCCCUCAGCUCUGGGAUAAGCCUGGGAAACUGGGUCUAAUACUGGAUAUGACUCCACGGUGCAUGUCGUGGGGUGGAAAGCCUUGUGCGGCUGAGGAUGGGCCCGCGGCCUAUCAGCUUGUUGGUGGGGUGANGGCCUACCAAGGCGACGACGGGUAGCCGGCCUGAGAGGGCGACCGGCCACACUGGGACUGAGACACGGCCCAGACUCCUACGGGAGGCAGCAGUGGGGAAUCUUGCGCAAUGGGCGAAAGACCUGACGCAGCGACGCCGCGUGAGGGAUGACGGCCUGGUU
This 393-nucleotide ribosomal RNA is filed under the name uncultured bacterium. RNAcentral describes it as "bacterial SSU rRNA". It matches the Rfam family "Bacterial small subunit ribosomal RNA", at positions 28 to 424 of the family's 1533-position model. The record is from RNAcentral.